AAGCUGUUCAUGAAGGAGCCUGCAACAGAAGAGUGGGUGGUUUGGGUAAAAUCCUACCCAAAGAGAUAGGGUAUCCAGACUUGGGCACAGCUACUGGCAAUACCAACCACCUAGUGUCAAGAGACACGUAGAUAAACCCAGGUAAGCUCACGUAACCACAAAGACUACGUCUGAACGCCAUUUGAUGUAAUAUCUUAGCUUUACCUUUUAUUUUUUGAGCUGGAAUGGGGUGAGGUUUGAGGUAAUAUCUUACUGUGUGGGCCAAGCUGACCUCAAAGUCUUUAGUCCAUCUGUAGCAGCCCCCCCCCACCCCUCCCAGUACUGUCUUACAGGUUAGUGCCUCAUCACUCAGAAAGGGCUGCAUGUUUGCUCAGGAACGGACAUCCUCCUUUCGGUAUUUACUCAGGGCCCUUAAACAUUCAUCAUCUUUGAUCUGAAUCUGUAUACAUAAAUAGCUAUUUAAUACAGAACCCUUUGGUCAUUAAUUCCACGGAUUCCAUCUCCCCCAAUGGCUAGCUACUGGGUAGUGCUAACAAUAGAACUAGUCAUGGAUUCAACCUAACCAUAGCCAUCUUCAUUCACAGUUGCCAUAACUGCCCAGAAUAACACUGGUUUUCGUUGCAGUGACUGACUGGAAUGGGUCUGUCUGAUACAAGCUUAAGAUCAACCAGGUGCGUUCUGGCUUGGAUGAACUUAUUUUUGCUCAGACUUCUUUUAUAUUGUAGUUCCUACUCAUGUCAUGGCUCUCCACAAACUUCUGAUGUCAUCCAGGACUACUUUUGUUAAUAAGUCCCCAAUAAACUGCACUGCCAUCCUA
RNAcentral lists this long non-coding RNA (817 nucleotides) under Rattus norvegicus (Norway rat). RNAcentral's name for it is "long non-coding RNA NONRATT022156". The record is from RNAcentral. Lineage: Eukaryota; Metazoa; Chordata; Mammalia; Rodentia; Muridae.